This 760-nucleotide ribosomal RNA is filed under the name uncultured Stenotrophomonas sp. Its description in RNAcentral is "bacterial SSU rRNA". It matches the Rfam family "Bacterial small subunit ribosomal RNA", at positions 28 to 776 of the family's 1533-position model. The record is from RNAcentral. Lineage: Bacteria; Pseudomonadati; Pseudomonadota; Gammaproteobacteria; Lysobacterales; Lysobacteraceae.
AGUGAACGCUGGCGGUAGGCCUAACACAUGCAAAGUCGAACGGCAGCACAGGAGAGCUUGCUCUCUGGGUGGCGAGUGGCGGACGGGUGAGGAAUACAUCGGAAUCUACUUUGUCGUGGGGGAUAACGUAGGGAAACUUACGCUAAUACCGCAUACGACCUACGGGUGAAAGCAGGGGAUCUUCGGACCUUGCGCGAUUGAAUGAGCCGAUGUCGGAUUAGCUAGUUGGCGGGGUAAAGGCCCACCAAGGCGACGAUCCGUAGCUGGUCUGAGAGGAUGAUCAGCCACACUGGAACUGAGACACGGUCCAGACUCCUACGGGAGGCAGCAGUGGGGAAUAUUGGACAAUGGGCGCAAGCCUGAUCCAGCCAUACCGCGUGGGUGAAGAAGGCCUUCGGGUUGUAAAGCCCUUUUGUUGGGAAAGAAAUCCAGCCGGCUAAUACCUGGUUGGGAUGACGGUACCCAAAGAAUAAGCACCGGCUAACUUCGUGCCAGCAGCCGCGGUAAUACGAAGGGUGCAAGCGUUACUCGGAAUUACUGGGCGUAAAGCGUGCGUAGGUGGUUAUUUAAGUCCGUUGUGAAAGCCCUGGGCUCAACCUGGGAACUGCAGUGGAUACUGGAUGACUAGAAUGUGGUAGAGGGUAGCGGAAUUCCUGGUGUAGCAGUGAAAUGCGUAGAGAUCAGGAGGAACAUCCAUGGCGAAGGCAGCUACCUGGACCAACAUUGACACUGAGGCACGAAAGCGUGGGGAGCAAACAGG